UACGUAGGUGACAAGCGUUGUCCGGAUUUACUGGGCGUAAAGAGCGCGCAGGCGGUCGUUCAAGUCGAGUGUGAAAGCCCCCGGCUCAACUGGGGAGGGUCAUUCGAUACUGAUCGACUCGAAGGCAGGAGAGGGAAGUGGAAUUCCCGGUGUAGUGGUGAAAUGCGUAGAUAUUAGGAAGAACACCGGUGGCGAAGGCGGCCCACUGGUCCGGUACUGACGCUGAGGUGCGAAAGCGUGGGGAGCAAACAGG
RNAcentral lists this ribosomal RNA (253 nucleotides) under uncultured bacterium. Its description in RNAcentral is "partial 16S ribosomal RNA". It matches the Rfam family "Bacterial small subunit ribosomal RNA", at positions 524 to 776 of the family's 1533-position model. The record is from RNAcentral.